GAGUUUUCUCGUGUGCUGUUGCAAGUGUUGCCCAUUUACGUGAAAACUUCUCUGGGAGCAGAGCAGUGAUCAAGUCCCGCAAGACCUUCUGAGCACUCACUGCUGUGAAAGUUGGAGGUGCAGGAUGCUAAAUCUAACUUCAGUCAGGUUAGAGCUGUGCAUGUUGCUGGAGAAUGAGCACAUCUUUGAACCAGAGACAAACAACGAAUCUUUCUCCUUCUCACAUCCUCUACCCUAUGAGAAGAUAACAGUGGAGAAGCUGCCCAAGCCGUCGCGCCUGGCCAUGCUGCUGAAUCGCUACACUACAGAUCCCCGGUAUCAGCAACUCUUCAUCAAUCUGGAGCCAUACAUAAACAAAUCGGCCAUGUCAGUCCAAGCCCACUUCUCACUGCAGCGCACGUAUAUCAUCUUUCGCACCCUGGGGCUGCGCCAUCUCACUGUGGUCGACCUGCAGAACCGAGUGGUUGGUGUGAUCACCAGGAAGGACCUGAUGCCUCUCCCCUUGGAGAAGAGGCUCAGGCUCCAGCUGUCUGCACACAGCCCUGAUGGGGGAGAGUAGCCUCUGGAUUUAAGGCAGUGGAGAGUGGAUUUAAGGCUAUGGAUGCAUUCUUGGGAUUUGUCGCUUCUUUCUGAGCUCAUGCUUCUUCAGGAAAAAAUAAUCAGAGCUUUUCCACUUGAUCCUUUCUGGAGAAGAGAUGCUUAAAAGCUGUUGUAACUAGACAUGUGGGGUUGUAGCCUAGAGCUACGUCUCUACAGCUGUUUGGUGAUUGCAAAAUUCAUUGACUUAAAUGCUUGCAAGGCAGAAUAUGAAUUCAUGUAUUUAUGAAAGAUGCAUAUAAAAUCAGAUCUGUAGAAUGGAUGUUAAGCAGUCUUUUGUCACACUGUAUCCAUGCCUCCCAAUGAAAAAAUGUCAUGACCCCUAGCAGCAAAGUUAUGCUGGCAAAACCUUUGAGCUAGGACUAAAUUUCCAACCACUGAACAUCUGCUUCCAAACCAGCAUUUUUAUGUCGAAGCAUGUAAGUUUAAUUGAAAGGAAAUACUGCCUUGAGAGAAGCAGCCCAUUGAAAGGAACAGGGGAUUGGGCUUUCAUAUUGGCCUAUGUGUUACUGCAAUCCAAAGGGAGAAUUGAAAGUGAAUGAGAAACCUGACAUGCCUUUCUAUUGCUUACAGUUCUUUAAUUUCUUGACUGCUGGAAUAGGCUCUCUUUCUCUCUUUUAACCUGAUAAGAGAACAUUUUUAGUUUAGGUCAUGUGUAGGGAGGUAUGUAACAAAUUCUCGUAGUGGGGACGUAGCAUGAUAAAUUGUCAGAGCAGUUUUUGAUAGCAGCAUAUUUAGAAACUAGAAAAAAAAAAGUAAAUAAUUCGUCAUGAUUUUGUAGCCAUGCAAUGUUUGAAAGUUUGGAAAGGGUUGUUAAUAAAUUAAUGGGAACAAUUUUUUGGAUGAAGACA
RNAcentral lists this long non-coding RNA (1448 nucleotides) under Chrysolophus pictus (golden pheasant). RNAcentral's name for it is "lncRNA (ENSCPIG00010011789.1)". Lineage: Eukaryota; Metazoa; Chordata; Aves; Galliformes; Phasianidae. The record is from RNAcentral.